GUGGCCGCGCUGAACAUCAUCUUCUCACGGUGGGGCCUGCAGGCGUCGGCGGCGUGGAACAUCAGUGGCGAGCCUUGCAGCGGUGCCGCCAUCGACGGCACCGACAUAGAUUCAGACCCUGAAUUAAAACCGGCCAUUAAGUGUGACUGCUCCUACAACGCCAGCACCGUCUGCCACAUCACCAGGCUGAAAGUAUACGCACUAGAUGUGGUUGGUCAGAUUCCUGUGGAACUGCAAAAUCUAACUUACCUGACAAGCCUGUAUGAACUAUUUCCAACCUGA
RNAcentral lists this ribosomal RNA (282 nucleotides) under Triticum aestivum (bread wheat). RNAcentral's name for it is "partial small subunit ribosomal RNA". Lineage: Eukaryota; Viridiplantae; Streptophyta; Magnoliopsida; Poales; Poaceae. The record is from RNAcentral.